This 279-nucleotide long non-coding RNA is filed under the name Mustela putorius furo (domestic ferret). RNAcentral describes it as "lncRNA (ENSMPUG00000026381.1)". The record is from RNAcentral. Lineage: Eukaryota; Metazoa; Chordata; Mammalia; Carnivora; Mustelidae.
GGUAGAGGCCUCCUACUCCAGGAAGCUUUCCUGCUUCCGCAGGCCCUUUCUGGCCUGUAGAGACUCUCCGCCUUGCCCUGCUUUGACUUGGGAAGACAAGAAGAUUGGCAGAAGACCUGUUCCCGAGUUUUUCGUAAGUGUUCAUUAAGACUCAUACCUGUCAUUCAAGCCUAGAAUGGUUCAAUAGAAGGAACGGCAAGAGAACAAGCUUAAAAUCACCAAGAUCUAGAUUUUCAUCUAAAUUCCUGGUCCUUGCUUCAUCUAGAAAAUUACUGGAAC